GACGAACGCUGACGGCGUGCUUAACACAUGCAAGUCGAACGGUAAGGCCCUUCGGGGUACACGAGUGGCGAACGGGUGAGUAACACGUGGGUGAUCUGCCCUGCACUUCGGGAUAAGCCUGGGAAGCUGGGUCUAAUACCGGAUAGGACUCCGGACUGCAUGGUCUGGGGUGGAAAGCUUUUGCGGUGUGGGAUGGGCCCGCGGCCUAUCAGCUUGUUGGCGGGGUGAGGGCCUACCAAGGCGACGACGGGUAGCCGGCCUGAGAGGGUGACCGGCCACACUGGGACUGAGAUACGGCCCAGACUCCUACGGGAGGCAGCAGUGGGGAAUAUUGCACAAUGGGCGCAAGCCUGAUGCAGCGACGCCGCGUGAGGGAUGACGGCCUUCGGGUUGUAAACCUCUUUCAGCAUCGACGAAGCGAAAGUGACGGUAGGUGCAGAAGAAGGACCGGCCAACUACGUGCCAGCCGCCGCGGUAA
Molecule: ribosomal RNA, 478 nt
Filed under: uncultured bacterium
Lineage: Bacteria
Description: partial 16S ribosomal RNA
Rfam family: Bacterial small subunit ribosomal RNA
Source: RNAcentral